UGGGGAAUAUUGGGCAAUGGGCGAAAGCCUGACCCAGCAACGCCGCGUGAAGUAUGAAGGCCUUCGGGUUGUAAACUUCUUUGAUCAGGGAAGAAACAAAUGACGGUACCUGAAAAACAAGCCACGGCUAACUACGUGCCAGCAGCCGCGGUAAUACGUAGGUGGCAAGCGUUGUCCGGAAUUAUUGGGCGUAAAGCGCGCGCAGGUGGUUUAGAAAGUCUGAUGUGAAAGCCCACGGCUCAACCGUGGAGGGUCAUUGGAAACUAAUAAACUUGAGUGCAGGAGAGAAAAGUGGAAUUCCUAGUGUAGCGGUGAAAUGCGUAGAGAUUAGGAGGAACACCGGUGGCGAAAGCGGCUUUUUGGCCUGCAACUGACACUGAGGCGCGAAAGCGUGGGGAGCAAACAGG
This 407-nucleotide ribosomal RNA is filed under the name Verrucomicrobiota bacterium. RNAcentral's name for it is "Verrucomicrobia bacterium partial 16S ribosomal RNA". It matches the Rfam family "Bacterial small subunit ribosomal RNA", at positions 355 to 776 of the family's 1533-position model. The record is from RNAcentral. Lineage: Bacteria; Pseudomonadati; Verrucomicrobiota.